Molecule: ribosomal RNA, 1477 nt
Filed under: Rhodococcus (subgen. Prescottella) equi
Lineage: Bacteria; Bacillati; Actinomycetota; Actinomycetes; Mycobacteriales; Nocardiaceae
Description: Rhodococcus hoagii partial 23S ribosomal RNA
Rfam family: Bacterial large subunit ribosomal RNA
Source: RNAcentral
GAACCGAUCUGGUAGUAGCCAAGCGAUGGGUGACGCAGGAAGGUAGCUGAGCCAGUCAGUGGUAAUAUGGUGUAAGCGUGUAGGGCGUGACCUAGGCAAAUCCGGGUCACAUACAGCCUGAGACGUGAUGCGUAGCCGAUUGAGGCGAAUUCAGUGAUCCUAUGCUGCCGAGAAAAGCCUCUAGCGAGCUUUCACACGGCCCGUACCCAAACCGACACAGGUGGUCAGUAGAGAAUACUAAGGCGAUCGAGAUAACUGUGGUUAAGGAACUCGGCAAAAUGCCCCGUAACUUCGGGAGAAGGGGGGCCUCGUCUGGUGACGGAACUUGCUUCCUGAGCUGGGUGGGGCCGCAGAGACCAGAGAGAAGCGACUGUUUACUAAAAACACAGGUCCGUGCGAAGUCGUAGACGAUGUAUACGGACUGAAGCCUGCCCGGUGCUGGAAGGUUAAGAGGACCGGUUAGCCAGUAAUGGCGAAGCUGAGAUUUAAGCCCCAGUAAACGGCGGUGGUAACUAUAACCAUCCUAAGGUAGCGAAAUCCUUGUCGGGUAAGUUCCGACCUGCACGAAUGGCGUAACGACUUCUCUGCUGUCUCAACCACAGACUCGGCGAAUUGCAUUACGAGUAAAGAUGCUCGUUACGCGCGGCAGGACGAAAAGACCCCGGGCUUCACUAUAGCUGGUAUUGGUGUUCGGUUCGGUUUGUGUAGGAUAGGUGGGAGACUGUGAAGCGGGCACGCCAGUGUUCGUGGAGUCGUUGUUGAAAUACCACUCUGAUCGUAUUGGACAUCUAACCUCGGACCAUGAUCUGGUUCAGGGACAGUGCUGGUGGGUAGUUUAACUGGGGCGGUUGCCUCCCAAAAUGUAACGGAGGCGCGUUCCUCAAAGCUGGUUGGCAAUCAGGUGUCGAGUGCAAGUGCACAAGGGAGCUUGACUGUGAGACUGACAGGUCGAGCAGGGACGAAAGUCGGGAAUAGUGAUCCGGCACCGGCAAGUGGAAGCGGUGUCGCUCAACGGAUAAAGGACCCGGGGAUAACAGCUGUCUUCCCCAAGAGUCCAUAUCGACGGGAUGGUUUGCACCUCGAUGUCGGCUCGUCGCAUCCUGGGGCUGGAGUAGGUCCCAAGGGUUGGGCUGUUCGCCCAUUAAAGCGGCACGCGAGCUGGGUUUAGAACGUCGUGAGACAGUUCGGUCUCUAUCCGCCGCGCGCGUUAGAAACUUGAGGAAGGCUGUCCCUAGUACGAGAGGACCGGGACGGACGAACCUCUGGUGUGCCAGUUGUUCGCCAGGAGCACUGCUGGUUAGCUACGUUCGGAAGGGAUACCGCUGAAAGCAUCUAAGCGGAAGCCUGUUCCAAGAUGAGUUUCUCACCCCCUCGAGGGGGUAAGGCCCCCGGCAGACCACCGGGUUGAUAGGCCAGAACUGGAAGCACAGUAAUGUGUGGAGGUGACUGGUACUAAUAGGCCGAGGACUUACCACAA